GGGGGACCUUCGGGCCUCAUGCCAUCAGAUGUGCCCAGAUGGGAUUAGCUAGUAGGUGGGGUAACGGCUCACCUAGGCAACGAUCCCUAGCUGGUCUGAGAGGAUGACCAGCCACACUGGAACUGAGACACGGUCCAGACUCCUACGGGAGGCAGCAGUGGGGAAUAUUGCACAAUGGGCGCAAGCCUGAUGCAGCCAUGCCGCGUGUGUGAAGAAGG
Molecule: ribosomal RNA, 218 nt
Filed under: Klebsiella pneumoniae
Lineage: Bacteria; Pseudomonadati; Pseudomonadota; Gammaproteobacteria; Enterobacterales; Enterobacteriaceae
Description: partial 16S ribosomal RNA
Rfam family: Bacterial small subunit ribosomal RNA
Source: RNAcentral